RNAcentral lists this ribosomal RNA (484 nucleotides) under uncultured bacterium. Its description in RNAcentral is "partial 16S ribosomal RNA". It matches the Rfam family "Bacterial small subunit ribosomal RNA", at positions 30 to 507 of the family's 1533-position model. The record is from RNAcentral.
AUUGAACGCUGGCGGCAGGCCUAACACAUGCAAGUCGAGCGGAUGAAGGGAGCUUGCUCCUGGAUUCAGCGGCGGACGGGUGAGUAAUGCCUAGGAAUCUGCCUGGUAGUGGGGGAUAACGUCCGGAAACGGGCGCUAAUACCGCAUACGUCCUGAGGGAGAAAGUGGGGGAUCUUCGGACCUCACGCUAUCAGAUGAGCCUAGGUCGGAUUAGCUAGUUGGUGGGGUAAAGGCCUACCAAGGCGACGAUCCGUAACUGGUCUGAGAGGAUGAUCAGUCACACUGGAACUGAGACACGGUCCAGACUCCUACGGGAGGCAGCAGUGGGGAAUUUUUGGCGAUGGGCGAAAUCCUGAUCCAGCCAUGCCGCGUGUGUGAAGAAGGGCUUCGGAUUGUAAAGCACUUUAAGUUGGGAGGAAGGACAGUAAUUUUAUACCUUGCUGUUUUGACGGUACCAACAGAAAAAGCACCGGCUAACUUCGUG